UACGUAGGGUGCGAGCGUUAAUCGGAAUUACUGGGCGUAAAGCGUGCGCAGGCGGUUCGUCGUGUCCGAUGUGAAAGCCCCGGGCUCAACCUGGGAAUGGCAUUGGAAACUGGCGGACUCGAGUGUGGCAGAGGGGGGUGGAAUUCCGCGUGUAGCAGUGAAAUGCGUAGAGAUGCGGAGGAACACCGAUGGCGAAGGCAGCCCCCUGGGCUAACACUGACGCUCAGGCACGAAAGCGUGGGGAGCAAACGGG
This 253-nucleotide ribosomal RNA is filed under the name uncultured bacterium. RNAcentral's name for it is "partial 16S ribosomal RNA". It matches the Rfam family "Bacterial small subunit ribosomal RNA", at positions 524 to 776 of the family's 1533-position model. The record is from RNAcentral.